Molecule: ribosomal RNA, 1216 nt
Filed under: Staphylococcus aureus
Lineage: Bacteria; Bacillati; Bacillota; Bacilli; Caryophanales; Staphylococcaceae
Description: partial 23S ribosomal RNA
Rfam family: Bacterial large subunit ribosomal RNA
Source: RNAcentral
GAUUAAGUUAUUAAGGGCGCACGGUGGAUGCCUUGGCACUAGAAGCCGAUGAAGGACGUUACUAACGACGAUAUGCUUUGGGGAGCUGUAAGUAAGCUUUGAUCCAGAGAUUUCCGAAUGGGGAAACCCAGCAUGAGUUAUGUCAUGUUAUCGAUAUGUGAAUACAUAGCAUAUCAGAAGGCACACCCGGAGAACUGAAACAUCUUAGUACCCGGAGGAAGAGAAAGAAAAUUCGAUUCCCUUAGUAGCGGCGAGCGAAACGGGAAGAGCCCAAACCAACAAGCUUGCUUGUUGGGGUUGUAGGACACUCUAUACGGAGUUACAAAGGACGACAUUAGACGAAUCAUCUGGAAAGAUGAAUCAAAGAAGGUAAUAAUCCUGUAGUCGAAAAUGUUGUCUCUCUUGAGUGGAUCCUGAGUACGACGGAGCACGUGAAAUUCCGUCGGAAUCUGGGAGGACCAUCUCCUAAGGCUAAAUACUCUCUAGUGACCGAUAGUGAACCAGUACCGUGAGGGAAAGGUGAAAAGCACCCCGGAAGGGGAGUGAAAUAGAACCUGAAACCGUGUGCUUACAAGUAGUCAGAGCCCGUUAAUGGGUGAUGGCGUGCCUUUUGUAGAAUGAACCGGCGAGUUACGAUUUGAUGCAAGGUUAAGCAGUAAAUGUGGAGCCGUAGCGAAAGCGAGUCUGAAUAGGGCGUUUAGUAUUUGGUCGUAGACCCGAAACCAGGUGAUCUACCCUUGGUCAGGUUGAAGUUCAGGUAACACUGAAUGGAGGACCGAACCGACUUACGUUGAAAAGUGAGCGGAUGAACUGAGGGUAGCGGAGAAAUUUCAAUCGAACCUGGAGAUAGCUGGUUCUCUCCGAAAUAGCUUUAGGGCUAGCCUCAAGUGAUGAUUAUUGGAGGUAGAGCACUGUUUGGACGAGGGGCCCCUCUCGGGUUACCGAAUUCAGACAAACUCCGAAUGCCAAUUAAUUUAACUUGGGAGUCAGAACAUGGGUGAUAAGGUCCGUGUUCGAAAGGGAAACAGCCCAGACCACCAGCUAAGGUCCCAAAAUAUAUGUUAAGUGGAAAAGGAUGUGGCGUUGCCGAGACAACUAGGAUGUUGGCUUAGAAGCAGCCAUCAUUUAAAGAGUGCGUAAUAGCUCACUAGUCGAGUGACACUGCGCCGAAAAUGUACCGGGGCUAAACAUAUUACCGAAGCUGUGGAUUGUCCUU